This is a small nucleolar RNA of Solanum dulcamara, 103 nucleotides long. RefSeq annotates it as small nucleolar RNA snoR130. Lineage: Eukaryota; Viridiplantae; Streptophyta; Magnoliopsida; Solanales; Solanaceae. The record is from RefSeq and is a predicted model, not a curated record. The transcript has a single exon.
UCCCAGUGAUGAAUCAUUUAGUAAUCUGAAAUGUUACAUGAUUGGUGCUCCCUUUUCCAAAAAGGUUGAGGAACCAUUGUGGAUACUAGGCAUUCUGAGGGAC